UACCUAUGUUGUGCAACAAUUGACUGAUGAGUUAGGUUGGGGUUAAUGGGUCGAUUGGCCGGGAGUUUAUUGGGCAUUUUGAAUUUUUCUUACUAUUUUCGUAAUUUUUUUUAUUAACUUGGGCUAGCUUGUAGUUUUGUGGGAUUUUAGAAAUUUUUCGUAAUUUUUUGAAAAUUUCUACCCCAAUACGAAAUUCCGACAAAACCAUACCCUUUAUGAGAAUUACCAUUACCGGCUAAAAUGGUUAGAAAAAAGCAAAAACAGGGUCAGUAUG
This 274-nucleotide long non-coding RNA is filed under the name Oryza brachyantha (malo sina). RNAcentral describes it as "long non-coding RNA (OBRA_LNC002633)". Lineage: Eukaryota; Viridiplantae; Streptophyta; Magnoliopsida; Poales; Poaceae. The record is from RNAcentral.